Molecule: long non-coding RNA, 150 nt
Organism: Camelus dromedarius (Arabian camel)
Lineage: Eukaryota; Metazoa; Chordata; Mammalia; Artiodactyla; Camelidae
Exons: 3
Source: RefSeq, a predicted model, not a curated record
ACUCUAGAGGGUUCUGUGGCCAGCUGGUCAGCAGGAAGUUGAAACCUCGUGAACAGAUUGCAGCCCAGAUUACAGGAAUAUGGUGAGAAAGAAAGAACAAUCCAACUUUGCUUAAUCAGCUUUGAGGAGUGCAAGCCAUCUUAUCUUCAC